This is an RNA transcript of Eurytemora carolleeae, 1694 nucleotides long. It is a transcript of the gene named RING finger protein 121, with no coding region annotated. Lineage: Eukaryota; Metazoa; Arthropoda; Copepoda; Calanoida; Temoridae. The transcript is spliced from 7 exons. The record is from RefSeq and is a predicted model, not a curated record.
UAAAUUUAAUGAUAGACAAGUGAAAACCUGAAAGUGGAAAAAAGUGAAUUUUAUUCAAAUAUAACGGUUUUAUUGCAGAAGUAUGGGGUUUGGUCAUGGCCACCACCAUGACAAUGUUACGGUGGACUGGGACUCCAUUAAGUGGGACGAACUGUCUCCGGAGGAGAAAUGGAACCUUGAACACAUCAGAAUGCACCAGAAGCAUGCAGGGCACGCUGAAAUGCAUGCUGAAAUGAUUUUCAUUCUUCUUGUUGUUCUUCUUCUAUCUCAAGUAGUUCUUAUACAAUGGCGGAAACACAGACCCUACUCAUACCAUCUCUGUACUUUAAUAGGAAUGUGGGUAAUCCCUGUAGGGCUGUGUUUAAGAAACCAAUGGUACAGGUUUCCUCUGAUCUGGUUCAUUUUCUCCGUUGUUACUUCCUUCAUCACUAAGAAGUCUCUAGAAAAACCUAUCGAGGGAACAACCCCUCGCCUUGUUUACAAAUGGUUCCUGUUGAUCUACAAGAUCAGCUACUGUACCGGUAUAUUCGGAUACUUUACCAUGAUGGCAACCUUCUUGGGGUUCAACUUCAUAUUCGGAGCUAAACCUUCGACCUGGAUGGAUGCAGGACUCAUGUGCAUGUUCUACGCUCUCUACUACGGAGUAAUGGCGCGGGACUUUGCCGAGAUAUGCUCGGAGAAGAUGGCAGCAAACAUAGGAUACUACAAGGUUGAAGGUAUUCCUGAGCGAACCCUGGAGUCUGAUACUUGUGCAGUGUGCGGGAACAAGCUCCUGGUCCCUGUAGGAGAGGAGGGGGUUAUUGAGAACACGUUCCGUCUCUCCUGUAGCCAUGAGUUCCAUGAGUUCUGUAUCAGGGGUUGGUGUAUAGUAGGGAAGAAGGAAACCUGUCCUUGGUGUCACGAGAAGGUGGAUUUAAAGAGAAUGUUUCCAACUCCAUGGGAGAAACCUCACAUGAUGUAUGGUCAGCUUCUGGACUGGGUUCGUUGGUUGGUUUGUUGGCAGCCGGUUAUCCUACUCCUGGUUCAGGGGAUAAACUGGGCUCUUGGUCUAGAGUAGUCCUAUCCUACUCCUGGUUCAGGGGAUAAACUGAACCCUAGGUCUAGAGUAGUCCUAUCCUACUUCUGGUUCAGGGGAUAAACUGAACCCUAGGUCUAGAGUAGUCCUAUCCUACUCCUGGUUCAGGGGAUAAACUUGACUCUAGGUCUAGAGUAGUCCUAUCCAGGAGGAUUGGGAUUGUUAUGAUUGCAUUGUUUUCAUAGUUCUUGUUUUUGUAGAGAUACAAAUUUUUCAAUACUUCCUGAGCUGAAAACUUUAGAAUGGUGGAUAUCGAGAUCAAUGCUUAAUCUCCUGGAUUUACUAAACUAGAGAUUUUCCGCUUUGGAUAAAACAGGUUUACCGCCACUUUUCAGUAGAAUUUAACUAAUUGUUAUUUGUAAUUUUAGCUUUAUACGUUUGCAAUCUCAUCAAAUUUAAGUGCGGUAUUCUGUAUUAUAAAAUCAUAAACAUAAAAUCUUAACUGCCACUGGGUUUUAAAGUUUUUCAAAGAAAAUACUAAUUUCUUAAUGGUUUCAUAUAGUUUUUAAUUGUUAAAUCUAACCCUUGCUUCAUGUCUUCAUAAAAAUGUAAUUAAUUUUGUUGUCUCAAAUGUUUGAAUGAUAAGAAUGUACCCCUAAGGAGUAUCCUUCGAUGAAUU